GACUUUAUAAAGAAUGGAGGACCAAAAGCAAAGCUGCCCUUCAUCCCGGAAGAGUCAGAAAGACCUUCUACAAAAUGAGGAACUCACAUGGCCUCAGACGUGCUCUCUAGCCAAGGAUAACCUUUAACUUGCUGAGCCUCUAGGAAGACCACAGCAUAUACCCAAGCUUCCUGCAAAAACUCCUCAAAUUACAAUCUCUUCUGGACCAGAGCUGCCCUUCACGUGCUGGGAUUGCAGCAAGAAAAACAAAACCAGAAGGAAGGGGUGAGAGAAAAAAAAAAAAAAAAAAGCAAAUGGGGAACUGAAAAAUUAUUGAAGGGCUGGUGAGGUGACUCAGUGGAAAAAGGAGCUUGCUGCCAAGUCUGAAGACCAGAGUUCAAUUCCCAGGACCCACCUGGUGGAAGUUGUCUUCGAACUGCCCCAUGAAUAUUCAAACACAAGCAUGUAUAUUCAUACAAAAUAAAUAAAUAUAAUAUAAAAAAAUAAA
Molecule: long non-coding RNA, 487 nt
Filed under: Mus caroli (Ryukyu mouse)
Lineage: Eukaryota; Metazoa; Chordata; Mammalia; Rodentia; Muridae
Description: lncRNA (MGP_CAROLIEiJ_G0013726.1)
Source: RNAcentral